GCCUACGGCCAUAUCACCCUGCACCCACCAGUUACUCGCUGAAGCUAAGCAGGGCUGAACCUAUUUAGUACCUGGAUGGGAGAUCAUAUGGGAAAACUAUGUUGCAGUUGAAA
This 113-nucleotide ribosomal RNA is filed under the name Danio rerio (zebrafish). Lineage: Eukaryota; Metazoa; Chordata; Actinopteri; Cypriniformes; Danionidae. The record is from RNAcentral.